AGAGUUUGAUCCUGGCUCAGAUUGAACGCUGGCGGCAUGCCUUACACAUGCAAGUCGAACGGUAACAGGUUAAGCUGACGAGUGGCGAACGGGUGAGUAAUGUAUCGGAACGUGCCCAGUCGUGGGGGAUAACUGCUCGAAAGAGCAGCUAAUACCGCAUACGACCUGAGGGUGAAAGCGGGGGAUCGCAAGACCUCGCGCGAUUGGAGCGGCCGAUAUCAGAUUAGGUAGUUGGUGAGGUAAAGGCUCACCAAGCCGACGAUCUGUAGCUGGUCUGAGAGGACGACCAGCCACACUGGGACUGAGACACGGCCCAGACUCCUACGGGAGGCAGCAGAAGGG
This 342-nucleotide ribosomal RNA is filed under the name uncultured Pseudomonas sp. Its description in RNAcentral is "bacterial SSU rRNA". It matches the Rfam family "Bacterial small subunit ribosomal RNA", at positions 8 to 359 of the family's 1533-position model. Lineage: Bacteria; Pseudomonadati; Pseudomonadota; Gammaproteobacteria; Pseudomonadales; Pseudomonadaceae. The record is from RNAcentral.